UGUGGGAGCGAGCCUGCUCGCGAAGCGGUGUAUCAGAUAUUUUUUUGUCGACUGACACACCGCAUCGCGAGCAGGCUCGCUCCCACA
RNAcentral lists this unclassified non-coding RNA (87 nucleotides) under Pseudomonas corrugata. Lineage: Bacteria; Pseudomonadati; Pseudomonadota; Gammaproteobacteria; Pseudomonadales; Pseudomonadaceae. The record is from RNAcentral.